Molecule: long non-coding RNA, 344 nt
Organism: Canis lupus familiaris (dog)
Lineage: Eukaryota; Metazoa; Chordata; Mammalia; Carnivora; Canidae
Exons: 4
Source: RefSeq, a predicted model, not a curated record
GUUUUCUAUUGCUGUGUAAUAAAUUAUCACAAGCUCAGAGGCUUAUAACAAUAAUUCUUUAUGAUCUCCCAAUUUCCAUAGGAGUCAGCAUGGCUCAGCUGGGUCCUUUGCUUGGGGUUUCACGAGGCUACAAUGAAGGACUCAUUCUUCUCCAGGAAGGGAAACUGGAGGAGGAUUCAUUGGUCCUUGCUAUUCAGAAAGCUGUGGCCUGAGUUUUUCUAUUGCCAAGCCAAAUAUGAGCUCCAUACAGGAACAAGGGAAAGAAUCCUGGUUGACAGAAAGAGAUGUAACAGGAAGCGUGUGCCAGGAGUGAAACCAUAUAAUGAUGGUCCUCCAAUUGACUU